Molecule: RNA transcript, 2373 nt
Organism: Drosophila teissieri
Lineage: Eukaryota; Metazoa; Arthropoda; Insecta; Diptera; Drosophilidae
Gene name: DC-STAMP domain-containing protein 2
Exons: 10
Source: RefSeq, a predicted model, not a curated record
AUUUUAUUCUUAAAAUAAAUAGAAACUGAUUAUGGAAGACAAUUGUAAUUUAGGCGAUUACAUGUACAGACGAAGGAAUACCAUAGUUAGCUCUGAGGAAGAGACGGAGAACUGCACUGGAAAGCGUCUUAUCAACUUAUACAAAAGAGAUUACAACUCUGACCUGGACCUGGUCGAGUCUGGGAAAUACCUGGAUUCCACCUCUGAAGGAGAUGCACCCAUCUAUCCCAUGGAUCGCGAGGACCCUGAGCCAGAAGACGAACCUUCAGGGGGAUGCGAAAAAUCACUUUCAGAAUGUCGAUACAACGCAUUGCUUUAUGUUAUCGGAGGAUAUAUUGUCGGACUACUAUUGGUACUAAUGUGGUACUAUAGGAAUCCCAAAGAGGCCUGCAAGGACCUUAAUGGAAAAUGGAUUUUCAUCGUCUUGGUCACCUUACUAAUUAUUAUACUGGUUCGACGACGUCCAGCAAGGUGCAUUGCAGUGUUAUGCCUUUCAAGGUUAUCAAGCAGUCAAUUUCGGACAUUGGUAAUUGCAUUAGCUUUCUUGGUUGCUUUUUCGGGACCUAUAAAAAAUAUAAUCCACAACAUUUGCAUUUUGGCGAACACUCUCACCUGUGGGCAAAAUGUGCUAAUACAGGCUCUAAAGCUAAUGCAACGAAUUAUAAACGAUCCUUCUCAUUCAGUGGAGGAGGCAUUCAAGACAACGUUGACUCAAGUGUGCAGACUCAUGAAUAAACUGGAUAAGCUUUUGCUAAAUUUGGAGAGGCCCAUAUCACAAAUACAUGCCACUUAUAAGACCUGCACAGAUUGGUUACUUUUGCAGAAGGAUCACUAUGAGUACAAGAUGGGUACUCCCUACAACCGCUGCAUGAAGGCGGGUAACUUGAGUAUUGCACAGUGCAAGAUUGAGUUUGGAGGAAAAAAGAAAGAGUGCUGUAACCUAGAACUCUUUUAUUGGUUCUGCGAAAGUCUCAAGUCAUUUACAAGUUUCUUCGAUGAUAAUCUUCAAUGGUCUCUGAUGGUCAUCAAGGAAAUAUUUCAACGCUUGCGGUUAUGCUCCAUGAAAAUCAGAUAUAUUUUUAUAAGCUCCAUUAGUUUUGACCAUAGCUUAAAAUUUAAUUCAACAGGUCAAUUUACCCCUAACAAAGAUCACAUAACCGAACAAGAUGUAAACGAGAAAUUAGAGGCACAGAGACAUAAGUUAUAUUUGCUAUUAUUUUUGAUCGAUUUAGUUAUCUUCAUACUCUUGCUCACUAUUAUACAUCAAUCACUGAGCUUUUGGCUGCGCUACUUGAGCAAUGAACAAUAUGAAAAUGUCUAUAUAACAGAGGCUUUUGAGAACUAUGAUGACAAGUACUAUCAGACCAUGGGUGUAAGAGCCUUGCCCUUAAGUAAUUUCGAAGAGAAUAAAUAUGUGAAGAUCUUUAGAUAAAUUCAAUGCGACUGCUGCCCAAAGAAUAUGAUACUAUUUAUCGUUCAGUAACGUUUUUGGGGAUCACAGGAAUACAGCUUUUCUGCAUCUGCUUUGUGGACUACAGUCUUUAUAGUAUGCUAACUUUGAUGUCCUAUUAUGGACAUAUGAUUGAAGAUGUUAAACCUCUUGCCUAUAAAAAGAUUGUCAUUACUGGCGGAGGUAAAACUGGCGACAUUCUACGAGAUCUGGUUCAGGCAUUUGAGCCAAGAACUUUCAAAAUAAAUACUCAACGGUGUCUACCGAUUCCAGGUCAUCCGAAAUACCUCCGAUAUGUGUGGAUCUUAUUGCUUUAUUUGCUGGCCUGGUUCAUGGUUUUUUGGGAGCCAUAUGGCCUCCGUCGAAGACACCGUACUAUGAUGUACUUUUAUCCAGAGGAAUCAAGGCGCAGAGUUUACGACUUGCACCGAACAAUAUUACAUGAAAGAAAACAUUUAUUUAAAGCAAAAUGUCGGGAGGCACGUUUCUUAAACGCCUUUAAGAAUACCCAUCAAUUUGAAUCGUAUUUUACGUGGCUUAAUUCUCGUCUAAACUGGUGUCUCAGUUGUUGUACAGUAUCUUUUAUUGGAACAUGCUGUACCAUUUGCAAUAAACCACUGAACAAAUCUGAUAAUGUUUCCUGUGGCUGGCCAAACUGCAGGGGUAUCUACUGUACAACGUGCUUUCAAGACAGCCACAAUAAAUGUGUAUUAUGCAGUUCCGAGUACGAAGAUGAACUAUUGGAACAUGGGAACUCUUCUGGAAAUUCGGACUCUGAUUUCUGCAGCGUUGAUAAGAGUUAUCCCCAGCAGCGUGAUAAGAAAAUAUAGGGAUUAAUUCCAAAAUCUGUUAAUACAAAUAAAUAUUUAAAUAGGAUUUCUUAUAAAACUACAACAAGUAUAGUUGGCUGCCACGACUUCAAG